UACGUAGGGUGCGAGCGUUGUCCGGAAUUAUUGGGCGUAAAGAGCUCGUAGGCGGUGUGUCACGUCGGCCGUGAAAACCUGCAGCUUAACUGUGGGCGUGCGGUCGAUACGGGCAUCACUGGAGUUCGGCAGGGGAGACUGGAAUUCCAGGUGUAGCGGUGAAAUGCGUAGAUAUCUGGAGGAAUACCGGUGGCGAAGGCGGCAUCCUGGACCAUAACUGACGCUGAGGCGCGAAAGCUAGGGGAGCAAACGGG
RNAcentral lists this ribosomal RNA (254 nucleotides) under uncultured bacterium. RNAcentral's name for it is "partial 16S ribosomal RNA". It matches the Rfam family "Bacterial small subunit ribosomal RNA", at positions 524 to 776 of the family's 1533-position model. The record is from RNAcentral.